This 465-nucleotide ribosomal RNA is filed under the name Vreelandella stevensii. RNAcentral describes it as "partial 16S ribosomal RNA". It matches the Rfam family "Bacterial small subunit ribosomal RNA", at positions 338 to 795 of the family's 1533-position model. Lineage: Bacteria; Pseudomonadati; Pseudomonadota; Gammaproteobacteria; Oceanospirillales; Halomonadaceae. The record is from RNAcentral.
CCUACGGGUGGCAGCAGUGGGGAAUAUUGGACAAUGGGGGCAACCCUGAUCCAGCCAUGCCGCGUGUGUGAAGAAGGCCCUCGGGUUGUAAAGCACUUUCAGUGAGGAAGAACGCCUGGUGGUUAAUACCCAUCAGGAAAGACAUCACUCACAGAAGAAGCACCGGCUAACUCCGUGCCAGCAGCCGCGGUAAUACGGAGGGUGCGAGCGUUAAUCGGAAUUACUGGGCGUAAAGCGCGCGUAGGUGGCUUGAUAAGCCGGUUGUGAAAGCCCCGGGCUCAACCUGGGAACGGCAUCCGGAACUGUCAAGCUAGAGUGCAGGAGAGGAAGGUAGAAUUCCCGGUGUAGCGGUGAAAUGCGUAGAGAUCGGGAGGAAUACCAGUGGCAAAGGCGGCCUUCUGGACUGACACUGACACUGAGGUGCGAAAGCGUGGGUAGCAAACAGGAUUAGAUACCCUUGUAGUC